AGAUAAUCAUCGUGCAAAACUUCAUGUUAAACGAUAAUUAGCCAGCAUACCGAAAUUAUUAGGCCCGCAGCCAGCGUAAAUCGGUGCUGAUUGGUUGCAAACACUGAAGAGCUACGGAUGAAUUUAACUACAAAGGGAUUGUGCUGGCUUUAGUACUGCAAUGCGAAAUAUCAACAUAUCCUGAAAAUAUCUACUACCAUUAGAAUAAAAAUAAAUCUCAUAAUUUUUUAUACUAUAUUUAUUUGUGCUGAUUAUAAUUUAAUCUAAGGUCAUCAUCAUUUAUUUUAGUGCCAACUAGUGAAACGUAUAAGAAUAACAUUAGUCUUAUAGCCUAGGCAUGUGAACAAUUGAUGACAUUAUUACGACAAGUCCUAAAGGUGUCAAGCUUUAUCGAAAAUUUUAAAAUAAAUAAGUAAGCGAAGAGUAGGUCACCAUAAAGGGAAGUGAUACUGUGUAAGUGUUGUUAAUGUAGGUACAAAACACAGAUAUAUCCAAGUACUACACAAACUCACGCUAAUUCUAAUAUUAGGUAGAAUAUUAUUUGUUUGCAAACAGAAUUACCUAUAAAUACUUUAAUUAGUGCCUAUAGUUACACUUUACUCGGACAAAUAAUCGGACAUCUCGGUUUCAAUUCGCAUAUCUAAACCUCCAUAUGCCAUAACUACACUCUAAACAAUGUCACUAUAUAUUGAUUGAAGAUGAACAAAUGUAACAUCUUGCAUCUCGUCUUAUUGCGUUUCUUAUAUACUACCUACUUACCUACUCAUCGACGUGACCUAUCAAUGAGCAGCAAUAAUUUAUAAAUUUUAAUAAAAAUUGUCCUUGCUUACUCAGUUACAUACUACAUUUAGUUUAUUUUUACAUACUACAUAACCAGCUAAAUUUUACGCGAACUCUCACAGAUGUCGCCACAUGUAGGCACAAAACAGUGUUAUGAAUUUUCAGUAGAUUGUUCUUAUUUUCGAAAUUGUUUCGAAAAUCAGCCUUUUUAUCUGCUGUCAAACUAUCUUUCCGUUAAUAACUUUACAUCGGUAUACAGUUUAAGAAAAAAUCUCAAAAUACCUCAAUGUUAACUACCUCCCCCCAGUAAGAAAGCACGCUGAUUGUAUUUUAGAAGCUAUACUUAUAUUCAGAAAGAAAAAAGAGACCCUAACAUUUUUUUCAUUAUUCGUUAAUCUUUCCGUAUUCCCAUCGAUAAAUCGCGCACCGCCAAGAAUGGAAAGAAUUUUAAGGCGGCCCGGGGAGAAAUUUUAACUUAUGGAUCAAGCAGAUGCUGUCAACUUGUGGCCAGUAUAGUAUAUGUAUAGUCGCUUAUGUUAGUGUAGUAACUCAUGUUCAUCCCCGAAAUUCAAACUUAAACUACUUUCCAAACUUUUCAAUAAAUAAGAAUAUAAUAUAUUUUUUAUCUAUUUAGGUAUUAUUCAA
Molecule: long non-coding RNA, 1425 nt
Organism: Manduca sexta (tobacco hornworm)
Lineage: Eukaryota; Metazoa; Arthropoda; Insecta; Lepidoptera; Sphingidae
Exons: 3
Source: RefSeq, a predicted model, not a curated record